UAAAUGAAUGUUGAUCCAAAUGAAUUCAUUU
This 31-nucleotide non-coding RNA is filed under the name Rattus norvegicus (Norway rat). The record is from RNAcentral. Lineage: Eukaryota; Metazoa; Chordata; Mammalia; Rodentia; Muridae.